GACGAACGCUGGCGGCGUGCUUAACACAUGCAAGUCGAACGAAGAGCGAUGGAAGCUUGCUUCUAUCAAUCUUAGUGGCGAACGGGUGAGUAACGCGUAAUCAACCUGCCCUUCAGAGGGGGACAACAGUUGGAAACGACUGCUAAUACCGCAUACGAUCUGACCUCGGCAUCGAGGAGAGAUGAAAGGUGGCCUCUAUUUAUAUGCUAUCACUGAAGGAGGGGUUUGCGCCUGAUUAGCUAGUUGGGGGGGUAACGGCCCACCAAGGCGAUGAUCAGUAGCCGGCCUGAGAGGGUGAGCGGCCACACUGGAACUGAGACACGGCCCAGACUCCUACGGGAGGCAGAAGUGGGGAAUCUUCCGCAAAGGGCGAAAGCCUGACGGAGCAACGCCGCGUGAGUGAUGACGGUCUUGGGAUGGUAAAACUCUGUUAGUAGGGAAGAACGUAUUUGUAAGAAAUUGUUAAAAGCUUGACGGUACCUAAUAAGAAAGCCACGGCUAACUACGUG
Molecule: ribosomal RNA, 509 nt
Filed under: uncultured bacterium
Lineage: Bacteria
Description: partial 16S ribosomal RNA
Rfam family: Bacterial small subunit ribosomal RNA
Source: RNAcentral